RNAcentral lists this long non-coding RNA (339 nucleotides) under Mustela putorius furo (domestic ferret). RNAcentral's name for it is "lncRNA (ENSMPUG00000029526.1)". Lineage: Eukaryota; Metazoa; Chordata; Mammalia; Carnivora; Mustelidae. The record is from RNAcentral.
UUAGAAUGAAGCUAAUCACUACUUAAGAAACAAGCAUGUGUCACCUCUUCUCCCAGGAACUGGAGCAGAUGUGCAGGCCUUAGAUCGGAAGUGCCUUCUUAUCCCCACCUGACAACACUUCUCCACUCUGCCUCCAUGAGACCCGAAGUUUUGAACAUCAGCAUCUGAGUCAGUCAUGCCACUUGUCACAGGACGUCAGCGUUCAGAGAAAGCAGCAGAGAAAAUAGAAGCAUUCAGAAGAGAACUUCCACAAACCUCCUCCAAGGUAACUACUGUGUCCGUCUUACCUGUGUUCCCUCUCUGAACCCAGAAUGAACUGAUUAUACUCUUAUUUAAGGC